CGUAGGUGCAAGCGUUGUCCGGAAUUAUUGGGCGUAAGAGCUCGUAGGCGGUUGUCGCGUCUGCUGUGAAAUCCCCGAGGCUCAACCUCGGGUCUGCAGUGGGUACGGGCAGACUAGAGUGCGGUAGGGAGAUUGGAAUUCCUGGUGUAGCGGUGGAAUGCGCAGAUAUCAGGAGGACACCGAUGGCGAAGGCAGAUCUCUGGGCCGUAACUGACGCUGAGGAGCGAAAGCAUGGGAGCGGAACAGGAUU
This 250-nucleotide ribosomal RNA is filed under the name uncultured bacterium. Its description in RNAcentral is "partial 16S ribosomal RNA". It matches the Rfam family "Bacterial small subunit ribosomal RNA", at positions 526 to 779 of the family's 1533-position model. The record is from RNAcentral.